GAGCUGCGCGCGCGCACGGAUGGGGCGCGAAAGAUCAAACGGGUGCAGAACGAACCCGCAACUCAGGUCUGCUGCCUGCCAGAAACCGCGGUUUAUGCUGGAAACUUUUCAAAUGGCGUUGAAAUAAAUAGAAAGAGGGGCCUUUUUGCUCCUGAAGUUCGUACGUUAUACCAGGGACCGUCUGAAAUCAAGCAGCCUACGUCGCCAAAGCCUUUUACAGCGUGGGGAUGUGAAUGGCGUGCUGUCAGCAGGACAGGUGCGAGGCAUUCAUGAAGUUUCUCUUCAGGGAACAGAAGUUCAAACUAUUCAGCACCCCUUCUUUUACAUGACCUACUUUAAAUCUGAUCCAAUGCAGCAUGCUCAAAGAGGACAAUGUUAUUGUUGUUGGUUCUAGCAUGUAAAAAUAACAGCCUUGAACUUGUGUCUAAAGAUGCGGUGUCACUUUCUGGACAAAAGAGCAGAGAUCAAGCAUCUCGGUAACUUUCUCAUUUUGUCACUGUUCUGCUUACAAAGAAGCAAAAUUGCUUGUGACAGAGUGCCUCAGUGACACCAGGCAAAGCAUUUGCAGUUAGGCCAACAUUCACGUUCAAAAAGAAGACCAAAACUCACUCACCCAGCUGGUGAAGGUGUUCUCUGACUACGCAAUACUCUUUCACAGGAAGCAGCCUAGGUCCAAGAGAUGCUCUCCCUUUAGUGACUGGCCCAAGAUGGACUCUGGGUCCACCCCCUCUGGUCUGAUGGAGAGCACAGGUGCAAAUGUUUUCCAUUGCUCCCUAGGCUAGCCGCACCCCUUAGCAGAUGUUCUACCACCAAUUCAGUCCUUCACCUGACAUUUCCCCUACAGUUACAGUUAGCUGCUUUUUUGAUUGGAAAUGCAUUUACAGUCUUCUCAAUUGUUCCAUUAUACUAUACAUUUGUUGUGAUUUAGAUUAAGAUUGUU
This is a long non-coding RNA of Lagopus leucura (white-tailed ptarmigan), 940 nucleotides long. RefSeq lists it as uncharacterized. The transcript is spliced from 3 exons. The record is from RefSeq and is a predicted model, not a curated record. Lineage: Eukaryota; Metazoa; Chordata; Aves; Galliformes; Phasianidae.